RNAcentral lists this unclassified non-coding RNA (224 nucleotides) under uncultured Cantharellales. RNAcentral describes it as "sequence contains ITS1". Lineage: Eukaryota; Fungi; Basidiomycota; Agaricomycetes; Cantharellales. The record is from RNAcentral.
AUGAGUUGUGAUAGGGUUUUUUGAUGCUGGCAGUCUAUGAUUCUAUCUUGGAUGCAUGUGCUCGCCCUAACAAAUCAUUUUCCCAAACACCCUGUGCACAUUUUGAGGGAAUUUUGGGUCGAUUGCUGUCUUUGCAGUAGUUAGGCACAGUUCCCUUCAAAUUCACUUAUACGCUAUCGAUAAUAUUGAACGUGUUCUGUGCCGCAAGGCCAUUAAUAAUAAUA